CGCGUAGGCGGUUCGGUAAGUAGGGGUGAAAUUCCGCGGCUCAACCGCGGGACUGCCUUCUAGACUGCCGGACUUGAGCACGGUAGAGGCAGAUGGAAUUCCCGGUGUAGCGGUGGAAUGCGUAGAGAUCGGGAAGAACACCAGUGGCGAAGGCGGUCUGCUGGGCCGUUGCUGACGCUGAGGCGCGACAGCGUGGGGAGCAAACA
RNAcentral lists this ribosomal RNA (206 nucleotides) under uncultured bacterium. Its description in RNAcentral is "partial 16S ribosomal RNA". It matches the Rfam family "Bacterial small subunit ribosomal RNA", at positions 568 to 774 of the family's 1533-position model. The record is from RNAcentral.